This 80-nucleotide ribosomal RNA is filed under the name Caerostris darwini. The record is from RNAcentral. Lineage: Eukaryota; Metazoa; Arthropoda; Arachnida; Araneae; Araneidae.
CCUUAGAUCACCGAAGUUAAGCAUCAUUGGGCGCGGUCAGUACUUGGGUGGGUGACCACCUGGGAACACUGCGUGCCGUU